This 514-nucleotide ribosomal RNA is filed under the name Alternaria alternata. RNAcentral describes it as "eukaryotic LSU rRNA". The stretch from base 152 to 305 matches the Rfam family "5.8S ribosomal RNA". The record is from RNAcentral. Lineage: Eukaryota; Fungi; Ascomycota; Dothideomycetes; Pleosporales; Pleosporaceae.
GCGGGCUGGACCUCUCGGGGUUACAGCCUUGCUGAAUUAUUCACCCUUGUCUUUUGCGUACUUCUUGUUUCCUUGGUGGGUUCGCCCACCACUAGGACAAACAUAAACCUUUUGUAAUUGCAAUCAGCGUCAGUAACAAAUUAAUAAUUACAACUUUCAACAACGGAUCUCUUGGUUCUGGCAUCGAUGAAGAACGCAGCGAAAUGCGAUAAGUAGUGUGAAUUGCAGAAUUCAGUGAAUCAUCGAAUCUUUGAACGCACAUUGCGCCCUUUGGUAUUCCAAAGGGCAUGCCUGUUCGAGCGUCAUUUGUACCCUCAAGCUUUGCUUGGUGUUGGGCGUCUUGUCUCUAGCUUUGCUGGAGACUCGCCUUAAAGUAAUUGGCAGCCGGCCUACUGGUUUCGGAGCGCAGCACAAGUCGCACUCUCUAUCAGCAAAGGUCUAGCAUCCACUAAGCCUUUUUUUCAACUUUUGACCUCGGAUCAGGUAGGGAUACCCGCUGAACUUAAGCAUAUCA